GACGAACGCCGGCGGCGUGCCUAAUACAUGCGAGUAGAACGCACAGUUUAUACCGUAGCUUGCUACACCAUAGACUGUGAGUUGCGAACGGGUGAGUAACGCGUAGGUAACCUGCCUGGUAGCGGGGGAUAACUAUUGGAAACGAUAGCUAAUACCGCAUAAUAUUAAUUAUUGCAUGAUAAUUAAUUGAAAGGUGCAAUUGCACCACUACCAGAUGGACCUGCGUUGUAUUAGCUAGUAGGUGAGGUAACGGCUCACCUAGGCGACGAUACAUAGCCGACCUGAGAGGGUGAUCGGCCACACUGGGACUGAGACACGGCCCAGACUCCUACGGGAGGCAGCAGUAGGGAAUCUUCGGCAAUGGACGAAAGUCUGACCGAGCAACGCCGCGUGAGUGAAGAAGGUUUUCGGAUCGAAAAGCUCUGUUGUAAGAGAAGAACGGGUGUGAGAGUGGAAAGUUCACACUGUGACGGUAUCUUACCAGAAAGGGACGGCUAACUACGUG
Molecule: ribosomal RNA, 505 nt
Filed under: uncultured bacterium
Lineage: Bacteria
Description: partial 16S ribosomal RNA
Rfam family: Bacterial small subunit ribosomal RNA
Source: RNAcentral